Molecule: transfer RNA, 84 nt
Filed under: Schaedlerella arabinosiphila
Lineage: Bacteria; Bacillati; Bacillota; Clostridia; Lachnospirales; Lachnospiraceae
Description: tRNA-Leu
Rfam family: tRNA
About the family: Transfer RNA (tRNA) molecules are approximately 80 nucleotides in length. Their secondary structure includes four short double-helical elements and three loops (D, anti-codon, and T loops).
Source: RNAcentral
GCGGAUAUGGCGGAAUUGGCAGACGCGCCAGACUUAGGAUCUGGUGUCUACGACGUGCAGGUUCAAGUCCUGUUAUCCGCAUCA